GACGAACGCUGGCGGCGUGCUUAACACAUGCAAGUCGAACGGAAAGGCCCUGCUUUUGCGGGGUGCUCGAGUGGCGAACGGGUGAGUAACACGUGAGUAACCUGCCCUUGACUUUGGGAUAACUUCAGGAAACUGGGGCUAAUACCGGAUAGGAGCUCCUGCUGCAUGGUGGGGGUUGGAAAGUUUCGGCGGUUGGGGAUGGACUCGCGGCUUAUCAGCUUGUUGGUGGGGUAGUGGCUUACCAAGGCUUUGACGGGUAGCCGGCCUGAGAGGGUGACCGGCCACAUUGGGACUGAGAUACGGCCCAGACUCCUACGGGAGGCAGUAGUGGGGAAUAUUGCACAAUGGGCGGAAGCCUGAUGCAGCAACGCCGCGUGCGGGAUGACGGCCUUCGGGUUGUAAACCGCUUUCGCCUGUGACGAAGCGUGAGUGACGGUAAUGGGUAAAGAAGCACCGGCUAACUACGUG
This 468-nucleotide ribosomal RNA is filed under the name uncultured bacterium. Its description in RNAcentral is "partial 16S ribosomal RNA". It matches the Rfam family "Bacterial small subunit ribosomal RNA", at positions 28 to 507 of the family's 1533-position model. The record is from RNAcentral.